This 1329-nucleotide long non-coding RNA is filed under the name Takifugu rubripes (torafugu). Its description in RNAcentral is "lncRNA (ENSTRUG00000032607.1)". The record is from RNAcentral. Lineage: Eukaryota; Metazoa; Chordata; Actinopteri; Tetraodontiformes; Tetraodontidae.
UGGGUGGAUGGAUGGACGGGUGGGUGGAUGGAUGAUGGAUGGAUGGAUGGAUGGAUGAUGGAUGGAUGAUGGAUGGAUGAUGGAUAAAAACAAAAAUGUCUGAAGUGUAUUUUUAAGUCCAACACAUCUGAACGGCCAUGAAAGGAAAGAGCAGCGUUCCCAUUAUGAGGUGAAACUGGACGAGGACGAGGACGAGGACGAGGACGCCGGUCGUCUCAUGCUGAGACGCUGCGGAGACGUGACGACGGACUUGAUGAAUGUGCGCUGAGAACAUCAACAGGUUCACACGACACUUGAUGUAACGCAGAGUGACAUCAUGAUGUAGGGCAACCAAAACAGGUCACUGGACGGUGUGUUUUGUCUCCAAGACUAGUGUGUGUGUGUGUGUGUGUGUGUGUGUGUGUGUGUGUGUGUGUGUGUGUGAGACGGGGGGGUGUUAUUGUGCGUACGUGAGAGAGACAAGUAUGCAGGGGCAGAUGUCCAGAGUCCCAUGCCAUAAGCGUGUGUGUGUGUGUGUUGCUGUCUGCUCGUGUGUGUGAAGUGAACUGCAGCCAAUCAACUCAAUAUCCUCCUCGUCAGUGAUUCCUGAGGACAAACAGCGAGUGACUGAAACCUAAAUGUGACAAAAGAGAACAAAUGUUUAACUCUCACCACAGCAGACAAAAAAAAAGCUCUGUGUUGAUCUUUAUGUUAUUCCCCUGAUGCAGGUCGUCUGUGGUACCUGUGAAAAGGACACUGACACAGGUGAACCGGGAAAUAUUGUUGAGACCUGGACGGCCGUGAUGAUGGAGCUCAGCCGACAGCGGUGUCCACAGCCGCUGAUGUCCUGCAGGUGGACACCGGCGCCUCUCAACUGCUGCUGUACCCAGAGUCACCGGCAGGGCGAGAGGCCCGGGUGGAGGAGUGUCAGCGGGCUGAACGUUCUGUCUGAUGUGGGGGUGCAGGGAGCUCCACGGGGCACCGCUCGUUCCCUCCUGCAGAUCUCCAAAAACACUCCGAGUCUCAUCACGUUCCGGAGUUUUCUGAUGGCUCAGCAAGAGUCAGGUAGGGAGGGUGAGUCCCUGGAGGAGGAUCCUGGGGAGGGAAACCCGAUAAACUCUGGUGAGACGGAUCUCUGAGGCCAGCUGAGAACGUCCCCAUCUUAAUGAGCAAAGAGGAAAACACGGUUUUACCAGAAAAUGUACGGUAUUUGGAAAUUAGAAACAGAACAUUUCACCAUUAUUCCUGGGGGGGGGGGGGGGGGGGGGGGGAUUUAGGAAGAGAGAAUUAGCUGGAAGGCUCAACUCAAACAUGGUCGAGUCAAAUUGUCAGGAAGUUUUUUCAGUAUUA